This 644-nucleotide long non-coding RNA is filed under the name Phasianus colchicus (ring-necked pheasant). RNAcentral's name for it is "lncRNA (ENSPCLG00000013814.1)". Lineage: Eukaryota; Metazoa; Chordata; Aves; Galliformes; Phasianidae. The record is from RNAcentral.
CUCAACCGUUCACACAGGCGCUUAGCCAAUCAGAGCCGUGAGAUGUUCUUUCUUCUUCUGAAGGUGUCCUUGGUUCUCAUGCCGCUUAUCUUGCUCUGCAGCUGCUGCUCCGUGCAGCUCCCCCUGCUCCACAGCUGCUGUUCUGAACAGUUUUUUUCUUACGUAAUCUUACGUAAUCUUACCUACUUUUGUCUUCAGAUGGAAUGAAGCAGUAUUAUCAUCAGUUUCUAUCAUUUUCAGCUAUGUUUUUUUGACGGUGUUCUCUCUCCUUGCUCUUCUCUUUCCAUUCACCACCAGCCUUUCUCAGGCAAGAGGUGACCUCAGCAGCUGAGGAUGUACUGAGCCAAUCUAACUACAGUGCUGAACUGGUUUAAACAAGUUUCUGGAGGAAGGAACGUGGAGAUCAAAACCACAGAACAUGACAGACAACUUAUGCUAUCAUCAUCUGCAGAACAGAGGGAUUGCUUUGAUGGCAAUAUGGUAAUCAGGAAUGCAUAUGGACCACAUCUGACUGAAAAGGGACAUCAGUGCAACAGGCAAAUGAUGGCUACACUAUUAAUCACACUUCUCCAAAUUUCUGGGCAGUUUUUCCCAAUUUUCUGAUUUCCAAAAGAGUAUAAUUUUAUACUUAUUGUUGCUUGUCC